UACGGAGGGGGCUAGCGUUGUUCGGAAUUACUGGGCGUAAAGCGCGCGUAGGCGGCUUUGUAAGUUAGAGGUGAAAGCCCGGGGCUCAACUCCGGAACUGCCUUUAAGACUGCAUCGCUUGAAUUGUGGAGAGGUAAGUGGAAUUCCGAGUGUAGAGGUGAAAUUCGUAGAUAUUCGGAAGAACACCAGUGGCGAAGGCGACUUACUGGACAAAUAUUGACGCUGAGGUGCGAAAGCGUGGGGAGCAAACAGG
RNAcentral lists this ribosomal RNA (253 nucleotides) under uncultured bacterium. Its description in RNAcentral is "partial 16S ribosomal RNA". It matches the Rfam family "Bacterial small subunit ribosomal RNA", at positions 524 to 776 of the family's 1533-position model. The record is from RNAcentral.